UACGUAGGGUGCAGGCGUUAAUCGGAAUUACUGGGCGUAAAGCGUGCGUAGGCGGCCUACUAAGUCAGACGUGAAAUCCCCCGGCUUAACCUGGGAACUGCGUCUGAUACUGGAAGGCUUGAGUAUGGGAGAGGGAUGUAGAAUUCCAGGUGUAGCGGUGAAAUGCGUAGAGAUCUGGAGGAAUACCGGUGGCGAAGGCGGCAUCCUGGACCAUUACUGACGCUGAGGCGCGAAAGCUAGGGGAGCAAACGGG
RNAcentral lists this ribosomal RNA (253 nucleotides) under uncultured bacterium. Its description in RNAcentral is "partial 16S ribosomal RNA". It matches the Rfam family "Bacterial small subunit ribosomal RNA", at positions 524 to 776 of the family's 1533-position model. The record is from RNAcentral.